Molecule: ribosomal RNA, 551 nt
Filed under: uncultured archaeon
Lineage: Archaea
Description: bacterial SSU rRNA
Rfam family: Archaeal small subunit ribosomal RNA
Source: RNAcentral
CGGGGUGCAGCAGGCGCGAAACCUUUGCAAUGCGCGAAAGCGUGACAGGGUCAUCCCGAGUGCCGUCCGCUGAGGAUGGCUUUUGCCCGGUCUAACCAGCCGGGUGAAUAAGGGGAGGGCAAGUCUGGUGUCAGCCGCCGCGGUAAUACCAGCUCCUCGAGUGGUUGGGACGAUUAUUGGGUCUAAAGCGUCCGUAGCCGGCUGGAAAAGUUCUCCGUAAAAUCCAACGAUCCAAUCGUUGGAUCGCGGGGAAUACUUUCCGGCUUGGGGGCGGGGGAGGUCGGCGGUAGUCCCGGGGUAGGGGCGAAAUCUUAUAAUCCCGGGAGGACCACCAGUGGCGAAGGCGGCCGACUAAAACGCGCCCGACGGUGAGGGACGAAAGCUGGGGGAGCGAACGGGAUUAGAUACCCCGGUAGCCCCAGCUGUAAACGAUGCAGGCUAGGUGUUAGGACGGGUACGGCCCGUCCUAGUGCCGCAGGGAAGCCAUUAAGCCUGCCACCUGGGGAGUACGGUCGCAAGGCUGAAUCCGAAAGGAAUUGGCGGGGGAGCAC